Molecule: long non-coding RNA, 1003 nt
Organism: Scophthalmus maximus (turbot)
Lineage: Eukaryota; Metazoa; Chordata; Actinopteri; Pleuronectiformes; Scophthalmidae
Exons: 5
Source: RefSeq, a predicted model, not a curated record
AUUAAGAACACCUGCUGCCGGCAAACUAGCAUACCUGCUAACAGCGGCAAGAAGGAUUCUCCACCAAGCCUGCCAACAGUCUGAAAAUGUGGCCUUGAGGAUGAACAUUGGCCUUCAGUCAGAGAUUGACGCCUGCAGCUUGGGACUGCAGUGGUUCAUCACACGGGGUUCACUCGGGCAUCACCGCUUCACAUCGCCAAGGAACAUACAGAGCAGCAGUGAUUGAUUCAAAGUGGAUGGAAUACAAGAGAAGACCGGCUUUCUAUCCUGUUCACCACCAUGGACAUAACCAGAUUGAGGCGGGGGUGUCCAUAGUCACAUGGAUGUCAAGUUCCCUUUCUACAGCCGCACACGCAAGAUACAUUAAAGCCAAAUUAUUUUCCAUUCUGUUUUUUAUUUAUCCAUGUCAACAACAAGGACAGAACAGCCCCAGUUCCUGCAGCAGCAACGCAGACAGAGGGAGAAGACCCAGAUGUUCUGCUCAUGGAUGUGAGCGGCUAAAUAUGACCUGCAAGAGUGAUGUCCACAUAAUUUUUCCAAGGGCACCAUCCAUCGCCAGAGCUACUCGCCUGUCAUUGCACCACACAGACAAUGGCUUCCUGACACUAGAGCUCCUUGUAAAAGAUGUUGCCACCCCUCGAUCUCUGUACAAUGCAGACCCACACAAAUGUGUGCAUGGGAGAACUCACAGUUACUGCGACGUGAACAUAUGAGCACACAGAUACAAGAGAAAGAGAUAACAAAAGAAAGAAGCACAAUCAGAAGCUAUAUCAGUAUCGGUUUUGAUAAAUAAUGUUAGGAAAGGAAUAUACCUGAAAUCCUUUGGAAAAACUGCCUAUUCAGCCACAUUUGCAUCUACCCCAGGGGAACGCUGUGAUCCUUUUCUGUUUGUUCUGUUUUGUGUAGGAUAUAUUCCCCUCAAAAUCAUCAGUUGACCCAUACUGUCUCACUAUAUACUAUACCAGAAAGAUAAAUCAAUGUAUUGAAUUCAACUGAAAUUGAA